This 497-nucleotide ribosomal RNA is filed under the name uncultured bacterium. RNAcentral describes it as "partial 16S ribosomal RNA". It matches the Rfam family "Bacterial small subunit ribosomal RNA", at positions 28 to 507 of the family's 1533-position model. The record is from RNAcentral.
GAUGAACGCUGGCGGCGUGCCUAAUACAUGCAAGUAGAACGCUGAAGGAAGGAGCUUGCUCUUUCCGCAUGAGUUGCGAACGGGUGAGUAACGCGUAGGUAACCUGCCUGUUAGCGGGGGAUAACUACUGGAAACGAUAGCUAAUACCGCAUAACAGUAGAUGUUGCAUGAUAUCUACUUAAAAGGCGCAUUUGCACUACUACCAGAUGGACUUCCGUCGUAUUUACUAGGUUGGUAGGUAACGGCCUUCCAAAGGGAAGGAACAUAGGCGAACUGAGAGGGGGAUCGGCCACAACGGGACCGGGACACGGCCCCGACUCCUUACGGGAGCAACAGUAGGGGAACUUCGGCAAAGGGCGGAAGUCUGGCCGAGGCACGCCGCGGGGGGGAAGGAGGUUCUCGGGUCGGAAAGCUCUGUUGUAAGGGGAGAACGAGUGUGAUAAUGAAAAGUUCACGCUGUGACGGUAUCUAACCAGAAAGGGACGGCUAACUACGUG